AAGUCGUAACAAGGUUUCCGUAGGUGAACCUGCGGAAGGAUCAUUAACACGUAUCCACGUCUCACCCAACGUGCACUAGUUUUCACAUCUCCCUCGACGCAGAGAAGGAAUCGAGUCGGCAGCAGAGUAUGAGUGGGGUUCGCAAGAGCUUAUCAGCUGUUCACUACUGAGGUUUCGGCCUCGACGAUUGUAUUUCUGUAGAGGCUAAUUGCCUUACUACUUUGGCUUCCACCUCUGUCGUGGUAGUAAGGAUCCCUUUCAUUUAACCUAUUUCACCCCCUUUUUGCUAGUUGACUUUUAUAUGUUGUUUUUCUUUGCGCUUGCGCAUGGUAAGGCACACGUUUAAUUAUUUGAACGUUAAAAAUACAACUCUUAGCAAUGGAUAUCUUGGUUCUC
Molecule: unclassified non-coding RNA, 396 nt
Filed under: fungal sp.
Lineage: Eukaryota; Fungi
Description: partial internal transcribed spacer region
Rfam family: Eukaryotic small subunit ribosomal RNA (bases 1-46)
Source: RNAcentral